RNAcentral lists this ribosomal RNA (851 nucleotides) under Rhytismatales sp. RNAcentral's name for it is "partial large subunit ribosomal RNA". It matches the Rfam family "Eukaryotic large subunit ribosomal RNA", at positions 69 to 937 of the family's 3401-position model. The record is from RNAcentral. Lineage: Eukaryota; Fungi; Ascomycota; Leotiomycetes; Rhytismatales.
CAGGGAUUGCCUCAGUAACGGCGAGUGAAGCGGCAACAGCUCAAAUUUGAAAUCUGGCUCUUUCAGGGUCCGAGUUGUAAUUUGUAGAAGAUGCUUCGGGUGUGGUUCCGGUCUAAGUUCCUUGGAACAGGACGUCAUAGAGGGUGAGAAUCCCGUAUGUGACCGGCUACCUUCGCUCAUGUGAAGCUCUUUCGACGAGUCGAGUUGUUUGGGAAUGCAGCUCAAAAUGGGUGGUAAAUUUCAUCUAAAGCUAAAUAUUGGCCAGAGACCGAUAGCGCACAAGUAGAGUGAUCGAAAGAUGAAAAGCACUUUGGAAAGAGAGUUAAAUAGUACGUGAAAUUGUUGAAAGGGAAGCGCUUGCAAUCAGACUUGCACGCAGUUGAUCAUCCGGUGUUCUCACCGGUGCACUCUGCUGCGUUCAGGCCAGCAUCGGUUCUGGUGGUUGGAUAAAGGCCUUGGGAAUGUAGCUCCUUUCGGGGAGUGUUAUAGCCCUCGGUGCAAUGCAGCCUACCGGGACCGAGGACCGCGCUUCGGCUAGGAUGCUGGCGUAAUGGUUGUAAGCGACCCGUCUUGAAACACGGACCAAGGAGUCUAACAUCUAUGCGAGUGUUUGGGUGUCAAACCCAUACGCGUAAUGAAAGUGAACGGAGGUGAGAACCCUUAAGGGUGCAUCAUCGACCGAUCCUGAUGUCUUCGGAUGGAUUUGAGUAAGAGCAUAGCUGUUGGGACCCGAAAGAUGGUGAACUAUGCGUGAAUAGGGUGAAGCCAGAGGAAACUCUGGUGGAGGCUCGCAGCGGUUCUGACGUGCAAAUCGAUCGUCAAAUUGCGCCAUAGGGGCGAAAGACUAAUCG